This 2483-nucleotide long non-coding RNA is filed under the name Fragaria vesca (wild strawberry). RNAcentral describes it as "long non-coding RNA (FVES_LNC001550)". The record is from RNAcentral. Lineage: Eukaryota; Viridiplantae; Streptophyta; Magnoliopsida; Rosales; Rosaceae.
ACACAAUGUAGUACGUAUGUACACCCAGGGGCGGAGCCAGCCUAAGUCUUGACUAGGCUGGAGCCCAGGUCACAUUUUGAAGCCUGAAAAAAUUGUUGGUGCUUACUGCUGUAAGAGUUGUAGAUGUAUUAUGUUGGUAUAAGGAUUGUUGGCUAUCCCUUUUAUGAUCAAAACACAAGACACAAGCUAUUAUAUAUAUCCUGAUGGUAAGGAUAUCACAAGUGAAGAAUGAAGACUUGACAAGAUCACAUGUGUCCUAGGUAACUAGUGCAUAUGCAUCUGAUGCUUUUCACUGAGAAUUUUACAUAUCCUGAUGGUAAGGAUAUCACAAGUGAAGAAUGAAGACCUGCCAAGAUCUCAUGUGCAUCAGGUAGUUUAUGCAUAUGCAUCUCAUGUUUUUCACUGAGAAUGGCAGCUUUGCUUGUCAUACUAGAUUGGAUGAUACCUCUUGGUGUAUCUGUCCUAAUCUAUUAGGUCUAUAAGUAUGCAUGUCUAAAUGCUUUUGCUAUUUGUGUAUCAUUAGUUUGAAUUCCCCUGUUUGAAUUCAAAUCCCCUUUAGCAAAAUAUUUGUCGUUGCCUUGGUACUUCAAGUCAGUCUAGGGUUGUGUAGUGUUUCCAACCCGUGACCACAUGACUAGAGCUUAGAGGCUCCAGCUAGGUUUGUGAUACACAAACUAAUAUAUUAGCUGGCUAUUUGUUUUUAUCUUAUGUACAUCAGGUAGUUCAUGCAUGUGCAUCACAUUCAUUUAGGAUGGCAGCUCUGCUUGCUAUCCAGAUUUGGUGGAUACCCUUGUUGUAUCUAUCCUAAUCUCUGAGUCUGACUUCGUGCAGAUUUAAAUGGUUUUGCUUCAGCUUUUCAAUAUUUGAAUUUCAAAUCUCUUUUAGCAAAACAUUUUUCAUCGUGCUUGAGCUCCAAGUUAGUCUAGGGUUCUGUUGUUCUUCCAACCCAUGAGCACAUGACUAAAACACUUUUAGGUCAGCUCCUUUUUGAGUCCAGCUGGGUUUUGUGAUACACAAACCAAGUCAGCUGCUGAGCCAUGUGAUGCACUACCCAAGCUAUCAGCUGGCCUAUGUGUCCUCAUAUAGGAAUAGGUUUUGUUGUGUCUCCUUCAUUCACAAAACCUUUUGUUUCUUUCUUAUUGGACCAUUAUCAUAUAAGAGAGUUGCGUUUGUCUUUACUCUCUUGGAGCCUUUUGUUUGUCCUUUGGCCCUCUCACUUUAUGAGUUUGGACAAGGACUAAAGUCCAAAAGUUGCCUCCCAUUUUGGUAAACGGGCAUGCUCUCCUUUAGCUUGCACUUUGCCUAUAUAUAUGGAGCAAGUCUCUUCUUGCUCCUUGGUUGUUCAAGAUGUAGUUUUCUACAUAGUUUUAGCUGAGUAUAGGUUUUACCUUGCAUUGCUCAUUUGCCUCUAAGUCUUCCAUUGGUGAUUGUAAAUCUUAGAGCAAGAGCAAGAGCAAAAACUCUUUUCAUAAACCGAUUAGCAUUCUGCAUAUCAUGAGUGAUGGUAGUGCAGCAACCCCAGAAGUACUCAAGAAGGAUCAGUUGAUCGAGGAGAGCUGAGUUCUAGAGAUUCAGUUAAAGGUGUUAGCUGAGGUCUGAAGAAUCCCUCUCAUUAGGAUAACUGAGUUCUGAGUUGAGUAUUCUGAGAAGUGUUCAAGAAGAAUCAGUUAAAGGCGUUAGCUGAGUUCUGAGUUGAAACUUCUUCUUAUACCUUCAUAUGGAAACACUUGAGAGACAAGAGAGGUAGGUCUAGACUAGUAGGUAGACUAGGCAGGAUAGCAAGUCGUUGUUGUAUCCCUAGACUAUAAUCUUGUAAGAAGUGAGUUUUACAUAGUGGAAAGGUUUGUCCCUCAAGAGUUAGGGGCACGCAGUUUUUCUCCCUGGUGCAGGGUUUCUGCGAAUAAAAAACGUACUGGUGUUAUUUCUUUUACUUUCCAGUACUUGUUCUUUUAUUUAUUACUACGUCUCCUUGUUAUCAGGAUAGUUAAAUGUUUGCUAUCCUUGUGAACGAAAUUGGACGAAAAAGUAAUAAAGACCUAUUCACCCCCCCUCUAGGACCUUCAUAUUAUCUAUUACUAGCUCAGACGAAUAAUAUGGUAUAACCAAUGCCAACACAAGAAGAUUAACACCAUGAAUUCUUGAUGCUGUGUUAUCUGUUACUAGUCAUGUAAAUUUAAAAAGGAAAACUAAAUGGAAGUUGGUGUUGUUACUAAACUAAUUGUAUCAUCUUCUGUUUGACUUCGUUUGUAAGAGUUGUAAUAGAUUUUGUCCUUGCUAUGUUAUGCAAUUUGACGUUUGGUUCUUGAGGAACAACUACUUCUUGGGUUUAGUUAUGAUUCUUUGCUUUCUGUUGGCAAUCUAUAUAUCAUCUCUUAUUUUUUGUUGUUGAAAGUUAUGUAUUUCUUGCCUUGCCUGUAGCUUUGUUUGUUCUAACUCUAAUAAACUCGUACUUCAUUAUGUGUUAUUCUACACAACUGGAUCGU